Molecule: ribosomal RNA, 730 nt
Filed under: uncultured bacterium
Lineage: Bacteria
Description: bacterial SSU rRNA
Rfam family: Bacterial small subunit ribosomal RNA
Source: RNAcentral
AACAGGAUUAGAUACCCUGGUGGUCCACGCCGUAAACGAUGUCGACUUGGAGGUUGUGCCCUUGAGGCGUGGCUUCCGGAGCUAACGCGUUAAGUCGACCGCCUGGGGAGUACGGCCGCAAGGUUAAAACUCAAAUGAAUUGACGGGGGCCCGCACAAGCGGUGGAGCAUGUGGUUUAAUUCGAUGCAACGCGAAGAACCUUACCUACUCUUGACAUCCAGAGAACUUAGCAGAGAUGCUUUGGUGCCUUCGGGAACUCUGAGUCAGGUGCUGCAUGGCUGUCGUCAGCUCGUGUUGUGAAAUGUUGGGUUAAGUCCCGCAACGAGCGCAACCCUUAUCCUUUGUUGCCAGCGGUUAGGCCGGGAACUCAAAGGAGACUGCCAGUGAUAAACUGGAGGAAGGUGGGGGUGACGUCAAGUCAUCAUGGCCCUUACGAGUAGGGCUACACACGUGCUACAAUGGCGCAUACAAAGAGAAGCGACCUCGCGAGAGCAAGCGGACCUCAUAAAGUGCGUCGUAGUCCGGAUUGGAGUCUGCAACUCGACUCCAUGAAGUCGGAAUCGCUAGUAAUCGUGGAUCAGAAUGCCACGGUGAAUACGUUCCCGGGCCUUGUACACACCGCCCGUCACACCAUGGGAGUGGGUUGCAAAAGAAGUAGGUAGCUUAACCUUCGGGAGGGCGCUUACCACUUUGUGAUUCAUGACUGGGGUGAAGUCGUAACAAGGUAACC